AGAGAUGGAUUGGUGCCUUCGGGAACGUCUGACACAGGUGCUGCAUGGCUGUCGUCAGCUCGUGUCGUGAGAUGUUGGGUUAAGUCCGUAACGAGCGCAACCCUUGUCCUUAGUUACCAGCACGUUAUGGUGGGCACUCUAAGGAGACUGCCGGUGACAAACCGGAGGAAGGUGGGGAGUGACGUCAAGUCAUCAUGGCCCUUACGGCCUGGGCUACACACGUGCUACAAUGGUCGGUACAAAGGGUUGGCCAAGCCGCGAGGUGGAGGCUAAUCCCAUAAAACCGAUCGUAGUCCGGAUCGCAGUCUGCAACUCGGCUGCGUGAAGUCGGAAUCGCUAGUAAUCGUGAAUCAGAAUGUCACGGUGAAUACGUUCCCGGGCCUU
Molecule: ribosomal RNA, 384 nt
Filed under: uncultured Pseudomonas sp.
Lineage: Bacteria; Pseudomonadati; Pseudomonadota; Gammaproteobacteria; Pseudomonadales; Pseudomonadaceae
Description: bacterial SSU rRNA
Rfam family: Bacterial small subunit ribosomal RNA
Source: RNAcentral